This 107-nucleotide small nuclear RNA is filed under the name Leptinotarsa decemlineata (Colorado potato beetle). The record is from RNAcentral. Lineage: Eukaryota; Metazoa; Arthropoda; Insecta; Coleoptera; Chrysomelidae.
GUACUCGCUUCGGCGGUACAUAUACUAAAAUUGGAACGAUACAGAGAAGAUUAGCAUGGCCCCUGCGCAAAGAUGCCACGCAAAAUCGUGAAGCGUUCCACAUUUUU